This 439-nucleotide unclassified non-coding RNA is filed under the name Hevea brasiliensis (rubber tree). The record is from RNAcentral. Lineage: Eukaryota; Viridiplantae; Streptophyta; Magnoliopsida; Malpighiales; Euphorbiaceae.
AAUUAUACCAAACAGUCAUUAUAUUAAUAAUCUAUUAUCUUUUGAUUCCCUCAAUAAAGAAAAGGCAAAUUCUCAUGCUACUCCAUUAGUGAAGCUAUUCAGUUAACUGACAAGUUAUAUAGUCUUAAUAAUUUUGCAAAUCCCUAAACUCAAAAUGUAGUCUUAAUACAAAGCAGACUUGCAAAAAUUUGCAAUAUAUUUUGCAACAAAUAUGUGAAUUGAAUGUGAUUUUGCUCAUUUUAUUUGAAGCUUGUAAAGCAAUGUUAGCUUCAAUCCUAACUAUUUUAAUUAGUAUAAACAUCAUCCAGAUUCAAAAGCUAAAGAAAGAGCUUCAUUACAAUCAUUUCACAAUUAAGAGAUGAAAUGGACGAUUUCUUCAAAAGACAAUACACGUGCAUGUGCAUGUACCCCAUUGAGUGAACUAAUUGUUCAAUUUUUG